AAAUGUUGCAAUCGACUUCCCGAUGGGGUCCAAAUUUUGGACAUGCCUUGUAACCGAUAAAUUUUAGGGGGAAACAUAAAAUG
Molecule: small RNA, 83 nt
Filed under: Lacticaseibacillus manihotivorans
Lineage: Bacteria; Bacillati; Bacillota; Bacilli; Lactobacillales; Lactobacillaceae
Also listed under: 1 other name
Description: Lactobacillus manihotivorans SAM-III sequence
Rfam family: SAM-III riboswitch aptamer (SMK box)
Source: RNAcentral